UGGGGAAUAUUGGACAAUGGGGGCAACCCUGAUCCAGCCAUGCCGCGUGAGUGAAGAAGGCCUUCGGGUUGUAAAGCUCUUUUGGCGGGGAAGAUGAUGACUGUACCCGCAGAAUAAGCACCGGCUAACUUCGUGCCAGCAGCCGCGGUAAUACGAAGGGUGCGAGCGUUGUUCGGAGUCACUGGGCGUAAAGGGUGCGUAGGCGGUUAUUCAAGUUAGGUGUGAAAGCCCUGGGCUCAACCCGGGAUGUGCACUUGAUACUGGAUGGCUAGAGAGAGGAAGAGGAUAGCGGAAUUCCUAGUGUAGAGGUGAAAUUCGUAGAUAUUAGGAAGAACACCAGUGGCGAAGGCGGCUAUCUGGUCCUUUUCUGACGCUGAGGCACGAAAGCGUGGGGAGCAAACAGG
Molecule: ribosomal RNA, 404 nt
Filed under: uncultured bacterium
Lineage: Bacteria
Description: bacterial SSU rRNA
Rfam family: Bacterial small subunit ribosomal RNA
Source: RNAcentral